GACGAACGCUGGCGGCGUGCUUAACACAUGCAAGUCGAACGGAAAGGCCCUGCUUUUGUGGGGUGCUCGAGUGGCGAACGGGUGAGUAACACGUGAGUAACCUGCCCUUGACUUUGGGAUAACUUCAGGAAACUGGGGCUAAUACCGGAUAGGAGCUCCUGCUGCAUGGUGGGGGUUGGAAAGUUUCGGCGGUUGGGGAUGGACUCGCGGCUUAUCAGCUUGUUGGUGGGGUAGUGGCUUACCAAGGCUUUGACGGGUAGCCGGCCUGAGAGGGUGACCGGCCACAUUGGGACUGAGAUACGGCCCAGACGCCUACGGGAGGCAGCAGGGGGGAAUAUUGCACAAUGGGCGGAAGCCUGAUGCAGCAACGCCGCGUGCGGGAUGACGGCCUUCGGGUUGGAAACCGCUUUCGCCUGUGACGAAGCGUGAGUGACGGUAAUGGGUAAAGAAGCACCGGCUAACUACGUG
RNAcentral lists this ribosomal RNA (468 nucleotides) under uncultured bacterium. Its description in RNAcentral is "partial 16S ribosomal RNA". It matches the Rfam family "Bacterial small subunit ribosomal RNA", at positions 28 to 507 of the family's 1533-position model. The record is from RNAcentral.